This 2272-nucleotide unclassified non-coding RNA is filed under the name Ixodes scapularis (black-legged tick). RNAcentral's name for it is "uncharacterized LOC121836839, transcript variant X4". The record is from RNAcentral. Lineage: Eukaryota; Metazoa; Arthropoda; Arachnida; Ixodida; Ixodidae.
CUCGAAUGGAGUCAAUUUCGAUGUGGUCGUUGCCGACGGAGGGAAAUUAUCGCUAAAGUUUUUCAAGUGUUUCGGCCAUUUCUGUGCCUAUGGAGUAUGACAUCUGACGCACUUCAAGUCGUGCCAUGGCAAGAAGUGUGGUGCGCUCACCGGAAAAAUAUGCGAGGACGGGGUUUUUCAACUUAGGACGUCACUGGCAAAGCAGCAAGACCUGUUUCAGGAAGCCAGCCGGACAAGCAACGAAACGAUGGCUCGUGGACAACACCGCCACCGCACACCGCCAUCGGGACGACAUGGCGGCCGGGCUGGCAGUGGACGAGGCCACCAAGGACGUCCGUCGGCACAACAGGGGCACCCCAGGGGGCCGUGGACCGUGGCCACCCCCUACAGGACGGCCCCAAGGGCCCGGCCUGUGCCGGCGACGCAGCGGAUGGCCACAGCAGACCGCCGCCACCUGGACCGUGUUCAAGGAGCACACCUCUGUCGGGCGGCACACGAACGGGGGCGCCUUCAUAGGGAGAGGGCAGACGCCGAACGCAUUGCGUGCAUCAACCAACUCGGUGAGCGCGACCGCGAACGGGCCAUCGCACUCGUCCAGCCGCGCCGACCGGACUUGCUAUGCCAGUCCAGCCAGCAGUGCCAUCCACCCUGAUGCCCACGACAACGACACCAUCGUCGACGUGCCGGACGAAGUUUGAGGGGGAAGUGUGGGCACCCUGGCGGCUCCCAGCCCAGUUGCCCGACCACGGUGCACAGGUGGCGGACUUUUCCCUAUGGUAGCAAAGUCAAGCCGACCACACGACAUUGUGCGUGUUGCCAUCAAAGGCGGUGCGCAGGCAGCCAUGGCCUGAACUGAAGCACAGCUGAUAACAAUGUUAAUGUUGUCUCGUCCAUGUCCACUUCAAUGUAGUUUUUUGUUGAAACCGGGGCGCAAGCCUUUGUGGUGAGAUGCCGCGAGGGAAGUCAACCUCCACCUGCACGUGGUGCGCCCUGCCAGCUUGUAUGCUGCAACGGAGGCUCUGGCGACUAUCCCUCCACUGAGGGGUGGGCCCCCGAGCAGGGGUCUGCCCUUGGGAGGGGGGGGGGGGCAAAGCAAAUAUCCCUACUGCGGCAGUUGGCGCAGGGAUGCCCUCAACCAUCGUUGACCCACUGGUGUUGCCCUUGAUUGCCCCUUCGUGGGGUUGGGCUGGUGUCGGGCUCUGCAAGAUCGUUUCUCCGUGUCAAUCUUUCCUGGGCUGUUUCUUGGCGUGGCCCAGUUUUUUCUAAGUACAGUUCCCAAUUGGCUUUUUGGUGAAAUUCCCACUUGAUCCAAGGAUCCAAUUAAUUUAUAUGGAAUUGGCUUUAAAUCGGCUGUGCUUAUUGAGGCAGUACCGAUUCAGGCAAUUUUUAUUUUUCAAUCUUUUUACGAGCCUCACCUUAUCAAAUGCCGGGUAUGCAGCAAGGCAAACCGACCAUACCCUGUGGAGCCUCAUUCACUUGUUUGAGGAGCUGGGAGUACCCCUCAAAGCACCUGUGCCAACAGCUGAUCUUGCAGCCUUCUGUCCUGCACGGUAAGCACGUGAGCUGGACAGAAGUCUGUCUUAUAUGUGGGUGCCAUCCUCUGCAGUGGGUCUGUAGUAGGUGCCAAGUUCUCGAGGGACAGAGCACGCGGAAAGAAAAACACAAUGGGAACGCGGUAGUACAGCAGUGCGCCUAGGUUGCAGAGUGCUUUUAAUGGACAAUGCAAAACCGAGGCACCCCUAGCGUGUCGGGUGUGUUCUGGAAAACAUUUGUCAACAAAGGCUUCACUUUCAGUUCCCUCCAUCAGACGGUAGCCAGCUGCGAGCGGGCACUGCGGACCUGCACCAUGCCCCUUCGUAGGUCGACCUGCGGAGGUUGAUCCGAGCCUUCGUAAGUUGACCUGCGUGUGCAUGUUAUGCAGUAUGUAAGCAUGCUUUUCGUGACUUCAUCAGACGGCGACUGAUGCAAGGCGAAGGCAAGCCACAUCGCUUCAGCGAAACUAAACCUAAUCUUAAUAUACGUACACUCCUCUACACGCCAACUCCUUGGGGGCUUUCGACUUCAACAGACUUCCAGGACCAGCACCAACAUUAGUGUCGGGCUUUCACACUGUCUUUACAUCGUGUUUUGUCCAUCAUUCUUAAAGGAACACUAACCCCGCCCCCCAAAUUUUUCUUUUCUUGUUUGCCAGGCAAUUUAUUAUGGCGUCAGGAGACUACCCAAUCAAUAUUUUGCUACUAAGUCGUGUAUAUUUUCAGUAAAGCAAAAAAAA